UGGACAUUUAUUCUUGUUCAGUUUCUUCUCAAGGUGAAGAUAACUCUUUAUAAAUGUCCUAGAGAAAUAUAGCAGCAUUCUGUUCACCCUUUGCAAGUAAAAAGGGUGGACUGUUCCACUACUGACACUU
RNAcentral lists this small nucleolar RNA (130 nucleotides) under Echinops telfairi (small Madagascar hedgehog). RNAcentral's name for it is "Small Cajal body specific RNA 24 (ENSETEG00000026863.1)". It matches the Rfam family "Small Cajal body specific RNA 24". Rfam says of the family: scaRNAs are a specific class of small nuclear RNAs which localise to the Cajal bodies and guide the modification of RNA polymerase II transcribed spliceosomal RNAs U1, U2, U4, U5 and U12. ACA12 belongs to the H/ACA box class of guide RNAs as it has the predicted hairpin-hinge-hairpin-tail structure,the conserved H/ACA-box motifs and is found associated with GAR1. Lineage: Eukaryota; Metazoa; Chordata; Mammalia; Afrosoricida; Tenrecidae. The record is from RNAcentral.